Molecule: ribosomal RNA, 540 nt
Filed under: uncultured beta proteobacterium
Lineage: Bacteria; Pseudomonadati; Pseudomonadota; Betaproteobacteria
Description: bacterial SSU rRNA
Rfam family: Bacterial small subunit ribosomal RNA
Source: RNAcentral
UGAUCAGCCAUUCCGCGUGAGUGAAGAAGGCCUUCGGGUUGUAAAGCUCUUUCGGCAGGGAAGAAACAGUUGAGGCUAAUAUCCUUGACCAAUGACGGUACCUGCAUAAGAAGCACCGGCUAACUACGUGCCAGCAGCCGCGGUAAUACGUAGGGUGCGAGCGUUAAUCGGAAUUACUGGGCGUAAAGCGUGCGCAGGCGGUUUUUCAAGUCUGAUGUGAAAGCCCCGGGCUUAACCUGGGAACUGCGUUGGAAACUGAAAGACUAGAGUGCGGCAGAGGGGGGUAGAAUUCCACGUGUAGCAGUGAAAUGCGUAGAUAUGUGGAGGAAUACCGAUGGCGAAGGCAGCCCCCUGGGUCGACACUGACGCUCAUGCACGAAAGCGUGGGUAGCAAACAGGAUUAGAUACCCUGGUAGUCCACGCCCUAAACGAUGUCAACUAGUUGUUGGGGAGGGAGACCUCCUUAGUAACGCAGCUAACGCGUGAAGUUGACCGCCUGGGGAGUACGGUCGCAAGAUUAAAACUCAAAGGAAUUGACGG